Molecule: unclassified non-coding RNA, 182 nt
Filed under: Glomus sp.
Lineage: Eukaryota; Fungi; Glomeromycota; Glomeromycetes; Glomerales; Glomeraceae
Description: partial contains 5.8S ribosomal RNA and internal transcribed spacer 2
Rfam family: 5.8S ribosomal RNA (bases 1-65)
Source: RNAcentral
GUGAAUCAUCGAAUUUUUGAACGCAAAUUGCACUCUCUUCGGAGAGUAUGCCUGUUUGAGGGUCAGCCUAAAAAAAAUCGACAUAGUCGCUGUUUCGCGGUGGCGUUCGUCGGAAAUUGGGUUAUCUUAAAUCUUUGGGUUAUGAGACUUAUAAUAUUCUCUUCGAUAUCAUACACGUUUUC